This 586-nucleotide long non-coding RNA is filed under the name Spirodela polyrhiza (greater duckweed). RNAcentral's name for it is "long non-coding RNA (SPOL_LNC000215)". Lineage: Eukaryota; Viridiplantae; Streptophyta; Magnoliopsida; Alismatales; Araceae. The record is from RNAcentral.
GUUAAUUUAUCUCCGCCCUCCACACGCUAAUUAAAGCGGGUCUGAGGGGGAUUAUUCAAAAAGCACGCUGUCUGAUGUCACAAGAAUUUAUUAAUUAAAAUUCGCGGCAGAAAAAAAAGGGCACGAAAAAAUGUAGUAUUUAAAUUACAGGACGCCCGCUUUGGAGAAUUUUGAUGCGCGUGUGGGGAGGGGGGCAUAUCUAUAAAUACUAUAAUUGAAAAGGAUUUUACAGGUACGGAAGAGGGCUCGGGCUGCGUCAGGAGGAGGAGCCCUGGUGGCUCUUGGAGACUUCGAGCUGUGGGGGGAGGAGGUUGAGGAAGCUCCCCCGGACGGGCUCGUCGUCCAAAUCCGAGGAUUCUGCGGGAGGACGAACUCGGGUCAGCUGCAAACUAAUUCAUGUGAUGGGGCAACCGAUAGAUACCUACUGCAUCUUAGUGAGAUCCAGCCCCUCCCCUGGCAUUGAAUGGUAAUUUAAAACAACAAUCUAGAGAGAGAGAGAGAGAGAAUGUGUGGCUGAUAAAGCAGUCCCUCCUGGCAUCACAUCCUAGGAAUAGUAAAGAAGCUAGAGAGAGAGAGAGAGAGAGAG